This 30-nucleotide non-coding RNA is filed under the name Mus musculus (house mouse). The record is from RNAcentral. Lineage: Eukaryota; Metazoa; Chordata; Mammalia; Rodentia; Muridae.
UGGGAUGAGAAGCAUCGCCAUAGAUCUUGC